AAAGGUUACAAAUUGACACGUUAAUAAUGAAUAUAUAUAAACCUCCUAUUUAUUCAUUAAGAGCUCAAAAUGAAGAACUGGCACAGAUAAGUCGAGAUCAGGAAAACGGAUAUGACGUUAUUAGACCGCCAAACGCGUUUAUUUUAAUUUGACAAUUCAGUGCAACAUACGAAGAACUGAAGCACAGGAAAGAGGAACACGGAUAUGAAAAACUGUCAGAUCCUACAAUUAUAUUUAACAACGAAAAACAACAAAAUAAUUUGACUGGUGACGGAAAACAACAAAAUAAGACUGGUCUCCGAAAACAAAGCUUUGGACCACCUACAACACAAAGUAAUAGACAAUCUCAGCAUUUUGAAGAUUAUCUUUCACCAAUUUGAUAUAGAAGAUAAAAAAAACAAGCAAAGUUAAUAUAUUUUAUACAAGAACAAAUGAUUUCAACUUUACACCUCAAAACAAAUAUGAGAAUUACAACAAAAGUGUGUUUUCAUAUUUGAGAUUUUUCCGAAAAAGAAAGAAAGAAAGAAAGUUGUUAAGUGUUUUAUGCUCUUCUAAAUUCUUCAAAAAAUAGAUUUUGUGUCAU
Molecule: RNA transcript, 583 nt
Organism: Saccostrea cuccullata (small rock oyster)
Lineage: Eukaryota; Metazoa; Mollusca; Bivalvia; Ostreida; Ostreidae
Exons: 3
Source: RefSeq, a predicted model, not a curated record